GGCUCAGAUUGAACGCUGGCGGCAGGCCUAACACAUGCAAGUCGAGCGGAAACGAGUUAUCUGAACCUUCGGGGAACGAUAACGGCGUCGAGCGGCGGACGGGUGAGUAAUGCCUAGGAAAUUGCCCUGAUGUGGGGGAUAACCAUUGGAAACGAUGGCUAAUACCGCAUAAUGCCUACGGGCCAAAGAGGGGGACCUUCGGGCCUCUCGCGUCAGGAUAUGCCUAGGUGGGAUUAGCUAGUUGGUGAGGUAAGGGCUCACCAAGGCGACGAUCCCUAGCUGGUCUGAGAGGAUGAUCAGCCACACUGGAACUGAGACACGGUCCAGACUCCUACGGGAGGCAGCAGUGGGGAAUAUUGCACAAUGGGCGCAAGCCUGAUGCAGCCAUGCCGCGUGUGUGAAGAAGGCCUUCGGGUUGUAAAGCACUUUCAGUCGUGAGGAAGGUAGUGUAGUUAAUAGCUGCAUUAUUUGACGUUAGCGACAGAAGAAGCACCGGCUAACUCCGUGCCAGCAGCCGCGGUAAUACGGAGGGUGCGAGCGUUAAUCGGAAUUACUGGGCGUAAAGCGCAUGCAGGUG
This 577-nucleotide ribosomal RNA is filed under the name Vibrio sp. PASRW65. RNAcentral describes it as "bacterial SSU rRNA". It matches the Rfam family "Bacterial small subunit ribosomal RNA", at positions 21 to 577 of the family's 1533-position model. Lineage: Bacteria; Pseudomonadati; Pseudomonadota; Gammaproteobacteria; Vibrionales; Vibrionaceae. The record is from RNAcentral.